AAUCUGUGUUAAAAAAUUCUUUGCUCACUUUGGAACAAUACAGAGAAGAUUAGAAUGGCCCCUGUACAAGGAUGAUACGCAAAUUCAUGAAGAUUCUAUAUUUAA
Nycticebus coucang (slow loris) is the source of this 105-nucleotide small nuclear RNA. NCBI's taxonomy places the organism in Eukaryota, Metazoa, Chordata, Mammalia, Primates, Lorisidae. The record is from RefSeq and is a predicted model, not a curated record.